RNAcentral lists this ribosomal RNA (439 nucleotides) under uncultured bacterium. RNAcentral describes it as "partial 16S ribosomal RNA". It matches the Rfam family "Bacterial small subunit ribosomal RNA", at positions 339 to 795 of the family's 1533-position model. The record is from RNAcentral.
CUACGGGUCGCUGCAGUGAGGAAUAUUGCACAAUGGGGGGAACCCUGAUGCAGCAACGCCGCGUGGAGGAUGACGCAUUUCGGUGUGUAUACUCCUUUUAUAUGUCAAGAAAAUGACGGUAGCAUAUGAAUAAGCACCGGCUAACUCCGUGCCAGCAGCCGCGGUAAUACGGAGGGUGCAAGCGUUACUCGGAAUCACUGGGCGUAAAGGACGCGUAGGCGGGUUGGAAAGUCAGGUGUGAAAUCCUACAGCUUAACUGUAGAACUGCACUUGAAACUUCUAAUCUAGAGUAUGGGAGGGGGAGAUGGAAUUAGUGGUGUAGGGGUAAAAUCCGUAGAUAUCACUAGGAAUACCUAAAGCGAAGGCGAUCUCCUGGAACAUUACUGACGCUAAGGCGUGAAAGCGUGGGUAGCAAACAGGAUUAGAUACCCCAGUAGUC